Molecule: long non-coding RNA, 2427 nt
Organism: Salvelinus fontinalis (brook trout)
Lineage: Eukaryota; Metazoa; Chordata; Actinopteri; Salmoniformes; Salmonidae
Exons: 2
Source: RefSeq, a predicted model, not a curated record
AUUGGGAGAGCGAGUCAAAAGGAAAGGAGAGCUGGGGAGACAGAGAGAAAGAAUGACAUAGCGAGAGGAUGAGUCAAACAGGUGUAGUAGUUGAGUAGUAGUGUUGUUUCAGUCUGGCUUCAGAGACAAGACUCAUUCCCUCCAUCAGAUUUCAAUGAGAGGCUACGUGAGUACCACUCCCUAGCUGUGCUAUUGAAACUGCCUUCCAAACACAGUCCAGUCCCCUCUUGAAAUGAGACAUACCAAUUACAAUGGCCUCCUAAUCCAGGGUAGGCAUCUCUCUGUCUUUAAAUUUCAAGAUAGGUUUGGCUAAGGUGGGGUUGGUUAAGGUGGGAGGGACAAUUAACUUCUUGCAAUUCUACACAUUUUGCCAUGGGGCAGUGAGGAAAAAUGUCCAGUUUUAUAGCUAAUCUCAUGCUAUUCUACACAUUUUGCCAUGAUGCUGAGAGAAAAUGUUAGGGUUUUAAAGCAAAUUUCCUGCAAUUCUACACAUUUUGGAGGUCGGGGCCCCAGGGCACGUGUAAUCAGGCCCUGUUUUUAGGCCUAGAUUCAAUCCAGGUAAUAGCAUGCUUGACAUUUAAAGGGGCAAUCUGCAAUUGCUACAUCCAUUUUGGGACUUUUACCUGCCACCCCCUUCAGUUUGCAUACCGCCACAACAGGUCCACAGACGAUGCAAUCGCCAUCACACUGUACACUGCACCUAUCCCAUAUGUACAAGAGGAAUACUUAUGUAAGAAUGCUGUUCAUUGACUACAGCUCAGCAUGUAACACCACAGUACCCUACAAGCUCAUCAUUAAGCUUGAGGCCCUGAGUCUCAACCCCGCCCUGUGCAACUGGGGUCAUGAACUUUCUGACGGGCCGCCCCCAGGUGGUGAAGGUAGGAAACAACAUCUCGACUUCGCUGAUCACUGAACACUGGGGCCCCACAAGGGUGUAUGCUCAACCCCCCCCCCCCUCCCCUCAUCGUGGACUUCAGAAAACAGCAGAGGGAGCACCCCUCUUUCCACAUCGAUGGGACAGUAGUGGAGAAGGUGUAAAGUUUUAAGUUCCUCGGCGUACACAUCACGGACAAACUGAAAUGGUCCACCCACACAGACAGUGCGGUGAAGAAGGCGCAACAGCCCCUCUUCAGCCUCAGGAGGCUGAAGAAAUGUGGCUUGUCACCUAAAACCCUCACAACCUUUUACAGAUGCACAAUUGAGAGUAUCCUGUAGGGCUGUAUCGCCGCCUGGUAUGGCAACUGCACCACCCUCAACCGCAAGGCUCUCCAGAGUCUGGUGUGGUCUGCACAGCGCAUCUCCGGGGGAAAACUACCUGCCCUCCAGGACACCUACAGCACCCGAUGUCACAGGAAGGCCAAAAAGAUCAUCAAGUACAACAGCCACUGCCUGUUCACCCCGCUACCAUCCAGAAGGCGAGCGGGUGGUGCGGUCAGCCCAACACAUCACCGUGAGCAUCUCAGCACCCGGUGUCACAGGAAGGACAAAAAAGAUCAUCAAGGACCUCAGUCACCCGACCUGCGGCUUGUUCACCCCGCUACCUAGAUAGAAGACAGAGACGGAACAGGUGCAUCAAAGCCCCCCUCCAUUGUCAUAUUCUUUAUUGUGUUCUCUCAUUGUACAUUUUGUUUUAUGUAGUAGCCGGGUUCCUUCAUAUUCAUUCUAUCGAAGAUGUAUUUCUUGUCUGCUAUAUUUAGAACACACAUCAAGAGUUCAAAUAGUAGCUGAAAUAGUGGCUUCAGUGGGGCUUCUGUAUAGUUUAGCCUUUGUGAAAUUCUUGAGUCUUUUCAUAUUUUCACCAUCAACAACCCCCAGGCAUUAAACAAAUAAUGAUAGGACUUCAACAAAAGAUAACAUCACAUGCCUCAAAGCAUUUGGUUCUUUUGUCCUUGACUUCUGGGGGAAGACACACUAGUACAGCUGCGAUCAAAUGGAGCAAAACCACCCGAGAGAUUAUACAAUUUUCCAUGCAAAAAGUUCCAAAGCAAUAAAAAUGAAUAGAAAACACAGGGCGGCCUGCACACAAAAGCCCUCAUUGUUGUGUGGUAAAGGAAUGUGUCUCUGACUGUGUCAGAGGUUGUGUGGAAUUUGUUUAUGCAUGGAGACAAAAGGCUGCCUAUGACUGUGGGAGAACUGCACCCAGCACCCAGGCAACCUGCUCCUACACUGGGAGGAAAGGCUAGCUAGCUCACUAAUUUUGGCCAUGUGGAUCUCAUUUGUUUAAUUUCCAUUAGACCGGCUGACGCACUGCCCAAUUUCGGACCUCUAGUAAAAAAAAAAAGAAGGUGUAUAAUCCUCUUGUCCCCACUCCAUUUGGUUGUUGCCAUGGAAACUACGUCACCCUCGAUCCAAAAUGGCUCUACUAUCAUGUGGGCAGUGGAGGCGAACCACAAGAAAGAAAAUAAACUCUAACUGUACGCUCUGAUA